Dermochelys coriacea (leatherback sea turtle) is the source of this 328-nucleotide long non-coding RNA. RefSeq lists it as uncharacterized. The record is from RefSeq and is a predicted model, not a curated record. Lineage: Eukaryota; Metazoa; Chordata; Testudines; Dermochelyidae. The transcript is spliced from 3 exons.
CCCGGGCCAAUCUCCUGUGUUGGAGUCUUGUCUUCUUCUCAGUGUCCUGGUUGCUUGCAGCGAAGGUGGGGGCAAGAGAAGAGCCCAGUAUGUGUCCAUUCUGUUUGUUUUAUAUCCUCAGUCCAUGUGCUUGAGGAGCACAAGUCCAGGCAUGUCUGGGGGGCUUUGCCGAGUCUUUCCAAGCAAGGUUGAGCAAUUCCCCUGGUGUGGCCUCAUGCAGGUGAAUCAUUGCAUUGUAGCUCCCUUGCUGGACAAGGGCUGUUGUUGGGUUAUUUGACACCCUGCCUGGGCGUUGGUUACUUUCCUUGCUGCUGCCUCUGGGGGCGAA